UCAGAAGAAUAUAUAAGAGAAAGGUCAAUACUGAGGACUUUAAUGCACUUAUCCAUUUCUGAAUCCUGGGAAGAAUAUGUAACAGCCAGAUGGAUACUACGACUCAAGUUUGUUUUUCAACUCAGGCAGUGAAACCCUGAAUGGGAAGACACUACAGUAAACAAACAAAAAUGCACACAGGAAACAGAGUGUAAUGGAAUCCCUUGGACUUUCAAAGAAGAUGGAGAGCACUUCUGCUAAAAUCACCUUCCAAAAUCCCAGGAAAACUUCUGUGUUUAACCGGAAUUCUAUUAAAACUUCCUUUUACUUCUGAUUUAAAUGGAGUAUGCCAAGUAACCCUGGUUUUCGAAUUGGGUGAACUAUUUAAUCCUCCUCAAAGAAAAAAAGAAAAAAACAAACAGCACCGAACUGACUUGUCAAGAGAAAAUAUAGAAGACUAUUAUACAGGUGGUCCACUUCAGUUAGACUCUUCCCCUUUCUUCAUGCCAAA
Molecule: long non-coding RNA, 490 nt
Organism: Zalophus californianus (California sea lion)
Lineage: Eukaryota; Metazoa; Chordata; Mammalia; Carnivora; Otariidae
Exons: 3
Source: RefSeq, a predicted model, not a curated record